Molecule: ribosomal RNA, 484 nt
Filed under: uncultured bacterium
Lineage: Bacteria
Description: partial 16S ribosomal RNA
Rfam family: Bacterial small subunit ribosomal RNA
Source: RNAcentral
AUUGAACGCUGGCGGCAGGCCUAACACAUGCAAGUCGAGCGGAUGAAGGGAGCUUGCUCCUGGAUUCAGCGGCGGACGGGUGAGUAAUGCCUAUGAAUCUGCCUGGUAGUGGGGGAUAACGUCCGGAAACGGGCGCUAAUACCGCAUACGUCCUGAGGGAGAAAGUGGGGGAUCUUCGGACCUCACGCUAUCAGAUGAGCCUAGGUCGGAUUAGCUAGUUGGUGGGGUAAAGGCCUACCAAGGCGACGAUCCGUAACUGGUCUGAGAGGAUGAUAAGUCACACUGGAACUGAGACACGGUCCAGACUCCUACGGGAGGCAGCAGUGGGGAAUAUUGGACAAUGGGCGAAAGCCUGAUCCAGCCAUGCCGCGUGUGUGAAGAAGGUCUUCGGAUUGUAAAGCACUUUAAGUUGGGAGGAAGGGCAGUAAGUUAAUACCUUGCUGUUUUGACGUUACCAACAGAAUAAGCACCGGCUAACUUCGUG